CCCUUAGAUGUCCUGGGCCGCACGCGCGUUACACUGAUGCAUUCAACGAGCUUAUAACCUUGGCCGAGAGGCCUGGGCAAUCUUGUUAACGUGCAUCGUGAUGGGGAUAGAUUAUUGAAAUUAUUAAUCUUGAACGAGGAAUUCCUAGUAAACGCAGAUCAUCAAUCUGCAUUGAUUACGUCCCUGCCCUUUGUACGCACCGCCCGUCGCACCUACCGAUUGGAUGGUCCGGUGAAGCCUCGGGAUUGUGGUUCUUGCCGCUUUAUUGUGGCGUGACCGCGAGAACUUGUCUAAACCUUAUCAUCUAGAGGAAGGUGAAGUCGUAACA
Molecule: ribosomal RNA, 328 nt
Filed under: uncultured eukaryote
Lineage: Eukaryota
Description: partial 18S ribosomal RNA
Rfam family: Eukaryotic small subunit ribosomal RNA
Source: RNAcentral